UCCACACACCCAAUUUCAUGAGAUUCGAAGACAAACGAUCUACCUUGUUUAGCCAACAUCUUUUUGAAGCAAGUAAUUUCUUUCGACAAUAAAAAACCAUCAGAACCAAUCUUCAAUUCUUCAAAAGUCUCUUUAGUAAACUGGUGUCCAAUACUCAUUGGAUCUCUUAAACUUGCUUCUUUUAAUGCUUCUCUCAUUUGUUCUUUAGAAUCUUCUGGUAAUGGUCC
This 227-nucleotide long non-coding RNA is filed under the name Physcomitrium patens. RNAcentral's name for it is "long non-coding RNA (PPAT_LNC007185)". Lineage: Eukaryota; Viridiplantae; Streptophyta; Bryopsida; Funariales; Funariaceae. The record is from RNAcentral.